Molecule: ribosomal RNA, 430 nt
Filed under: uncultured bacterium
Lineage: Bacteria
Description: partial 16S ribosomal RNA
Rfam family: Bacterial small subunit ribosomal RNA
Source: RNAcentral
ACGCACGCUGGCGGCAGGCCUAACACAUGCAAGUCGAGCGCCCUUUCGGGGGAGCGGCGGACGGGUGAGUAACGCGUGGGAAUAUGCCCUUCUCUACGGAAUAGCCUCGGGAAACUGAGAGUAAUACCGUAUACGCCCUGUGGGGGAAAGAUUUAUCGGGGAAGGAUUAGCCCGCGUUGGAUUAGGUAGUUGGUGGGGUAAUGGCCUACCAAGCCGACGAUCCAUAGCUGGUUUGAGAGGAUGAUCAGCCACACUGGGACUGAGACACGGCCCAGACUCCUACGGGAGGCAGCAGUGGGGAAUCUUAGACAAUGGGGGCAACCCUGAUCGAGCCAUGCCGCGUGAGUGAUGAAGGCCUUAGGGUUGUAAAGCUCUUUCAGCUGGGAAGAUAAUGACGGUACCAGCAGAAGAAGCCCCGGCUAACUCCGUG